Long non-coding RNA from Clupea harengus (Atlantic herring), 515 nucleotides. The record is from Ensembl. Lineage: Eukaryota; Metazoa; Chordata; Actinopteri; Clupeiformes; Clupeidae.
CCUGUUUCCACUCAAGAGAGGGGAGGUGGGCAGGAGGGAAUGAUACAGUCUCUCCUGUUUCCACUCAAGAGAGGGGAGAGGGGAGGUGGGCAGGAGGGAAUGAUACAGUCUCUCCUGUUUCCACUCAAGAGAGGAGAGAGGGGAGGUGGGGAGGAGGGAAUGAUACAGUCUCUCCUGUUUCCACUCAAGAGAGGAGAGAGGGGAGGUGGGCAGGAGGGUAUGACAGUCUCUCCUGUUUCCACCCAAGAUGUAAAUGCUCCUGCAUGUCAUCCAUCCAUCCAUCCUGCUCUCUGGUCCAGUGUCAUGUGUUUGUUGAUGAUCAUUAGUGUCAUAUGUACUGCGUAUGUUUUCAUUUCAUUCUGCAUAUUACACAUUUCAAAAUGUCUGUAUUAGUAUCAGCGGUUCAUCUUUCUUUGGCGAUGUUAAUAGGGAGCAUAAAAACUUCAUGUUUCUUUCUUUUUGUAUGUAUCCUUUGCUCUGUUUUAAAUUACACUCAAAAUAAAAUUCAUUCCCAU